UCAAUGGACCCUAAACAACACCGUGCACAGGGUGGAUUAUCUUAAUCGCCCAAAUAACUACUUAAUAACAGCAACAGAGUCAUUUUAUAGA
This 91-nucleotide unclassified non-coding RNA is filed under the name soil metagenome. RNAcentral describes it as "partial internal transcribed spacer 1". The record is from RNAcentral.